Molecule: non-coding RNA, 30 nt
Filed under: Homo sapiens (human)
Lineage: Eukaryota; Metazoa; Chordata; Mammalia; Primates; Hominidae
Source: RNAcentral
UGCAGUGAGCCUUGGUCAUGCCACUACUGA